AACGCACAUUGCGCCCGCCAGUAUUCUGGCGGGCAUGCCUGUCCGAGCGUCAUUUCGACCCUCAGGCCCCUCCUGUAGGGGACUGGUGUUGGGGGACGGCACCCGCCGGGAGAGGACCUCGUCCUCCUCCGGCGCGCCGCCCCCGAAAUGCAGUGGCGGCCUCGCCCGCAGCGACCUCCGCGUAGUAGCACAAACCUCGCGGCCUGGGAAGCUGGGCGCGGCCACAGCCGUAAAACACCCACCACGCGAACACUCUUCGCACCCUAAGAGUUGACCUCGGAUCAGGUAGGAAUACCCGCUGAACUUAA
Molecule: unclassified non-coding RNA, 308 nt
Filed under: uncultured fungus
Lineage: Eukaryota; Fungi
Description: partial contains 5.8S ribosomal RNA, internal transcribed spacer 2, and large subunit ribosomal RNA
Rfam family: 5.8S ribosomal RNA (bases 1-52)
Source: RNAcentral